CACGUAGUUAGCCGGGGCUUUCUUCUCAGGUACCGUCACUCCCCUAGCAGUUACUCUAGAGGACGUUCUUCCCUGGCAACAGAGCUUUACGAUCCGAAAACCUUCAUCACUCACGCGGCGUUACUCCGUCAGACUUUCGUCCAUUGCGGAAGAUUCCCUACUGCUGCCUCCCGUAGGAGUCUGGGCCGUGUCUCAGUCCCAGUGUGGCCGUUCACCCUCUCAGGUCGGCUACGCAUCGUCGCCUUGGUGAGCCGUUACCUCACCAACCAGCUAAUGCGCCGCAGGCCCAUCCGUAAGUGACAGAUUGCUCCGCCUUUCCCAAAUCCCCCAUGCGAGGAAUUUGCGUAUCCGGUAUUAGCUACCGUUUCCGGUAGUUAUCCCAGUCUUACGGGCAGGUUGCCUACGUGUUACUCACCCGUCCGCCGCUAAGCUAAUCAGGAGCAAGCUCCCGAUUAACUCCGCUCGACUUGCAUGUAUUAGGCACGCCGCCCAGCGUCGUCCUGAGCCAGGAUCGAAA
Molecule: ribosomal RNA, 517 nt
Filed under: uncultured Paenibacillus sp.
Lineage: Bacteria; Bacillati; Bacillota; Bacilli; Caryophanales; Paenibacillaceae
Description: partial 16S ribosomal RNA
Source: RNAcentral